AGAACGAACGCUGGCGGCAUGCCUAACACAUGCAAGUCGAACGAGACCUUCGGGUCUAGUGGCGCGCGGGUGCGUAACGCGUGGGAAUCUGCCCUUGGGUUCGGGAUAACAGUUGGAAACGACUGCUAAUACCGGAUGAUGUCUUCGGACCAAAGAUUUAUCGCCCAAGGAUGAGCCCGCGUAGGAUUAGCUUGUUGGUGAGGUAAGAGCUCACCAAGGCGACGAUCCUUAGCUGGUCUGAGAGGAUGAUCAGCCACACUGGGACUGAGACACGGCCCAGACUCCUACGGGAGGCAGCAGUGGGAAUAUUGGACGAUGGGA
Molecule: ribosomal RNA, 321 nt
Filed under: uncultured soil bacterium
Lineage: Bacteria
Description: bacterial SSU rRNA
Rfam family: Bacterial small subunit ribosomal RNA
Source: RNAcentral